AAAGUGGGGGAUAGUUCGGCGAAACCNGAAUUAAUACCGCAUGUGAUCAGCCAAGACAUCUUGGCGACAUUAAAGCCGGGGCAACCUGGCGCUUUUAGAUGAGCCCGCGGCCUAUCAGCUAGUUGGUGGGGUAACGGCCUACCAAGGCGGUGACGGGUAGCUGGUCUGAGAGGACGACCAGCCACACUGGAACUGAGACACGGUCCAGACACCUACGGGUGGCAGCAGUCGAGAAUUUUUCUCAAUGGGGGAAACCCUGAAGGAGCGACGCCGCGUGGAGGAUGAAGGCUUUCGGGUUGUAAACUCCUGUCAUUUGGGAACAAUGCUUACCGAGUAACUGCCGGUAAGUUGAUAGUACCAGAAGAGGAAGAGAC
RNAcentral lists this ribosomal RNA (374 nucleotides) under uncultured soil bacterium. RNAcentral's name for it is "bacterial SSU rRNA". It matches the Rfam family "Bacterial small subunit ribosomal RNA", at positions 133 to 494 of the family's 1533-position model. The record is from RNAcentral.